RNAcentral lists this ribosomal RNA (468 nucleotides) under uncultured bacterium. Its description in RNAcentral is "partial 16S ribosomal RNA". It matches the Rfam family "Bacterial small subunit ribosomal RNA", at positions 28 to 507 of the family's 1533-position model. The record is from RNAcentral.
GACGAACGCUGGCGGCGUGCUUAACACAUGCAAGUCGAACGGAAAGGCCCUGCUUUUGUGGGGUGCUCGAGUGGCGAACGGGUGAGUAACACGUGAGUAACCUGCCCUUGACUUUGGGAUAACUUCAGGAAGCUGGGGCUAAUACCGGAUAGGAGCUCCUGCCGCAUGGUGGGGGUUGGAAAGUUUCGGCGGUUGGGGAUGGACUCGCGGCUUAUCAGCUUGUUGGUGGGGUAGUGGCUUACCAAGGCUUUGACGGGUAGCCGGCCUGAGAGGGUGACCGGCCACAUUGGGACUGAGAUACGGCCCAGACUCCUACGGGAGGCAGCAGUGGGGAAUAUUGCACAAUGGGCGGAAGCCUGAUGCAGCAACGCCGCGUGCGGGAUGACGGCCUUCGGGUUGUAAACCGCUUUCGCCUGUGACGAAGCGUGAGUGACGGUAAUGGGUAAAGAAGCACCGGCUAACUACGUG